UUAUUCUUCAUCCAUUUUAUGCUCUUCAGAGAGUUUUCAGGUGCUAGGGCUUGGUUCCACAGAUAACCCCACGUUCGAUUCAUUCUUCAGAGAACCCAUCAUGAUUUAAGAACACAAAUACAUGUUCUUAAGGUUUCAAAUUUGCCAAAAGCCCCAACAAUCGAAGUGAGAAAUUGUAGAGAGAACUUGCCAUUUGAAUCGAGAGCUUGUCGUCUGAAUUGUCGAGGGAAAUCAGUAGCAAAUUUCUUCGAUUACCAACGUUUUUCUGGUCAUCGUGCUCUUGCCUAAAGCAAGCAAUCGAAGACAAUACACCAGUCGCCGUCGAAACUCAAAAAAGUAACAAUCAGCCAUGGGAAAGGUUCAUGGAUCACUGGCUCAUGCUGGAAAGGUGAGAGGGAAAAUGCCGAAAGUGGCCAAGUAGGACAAGAAGAAGAAGCCCCGUGGUAGGGCUCACAACGCAUGCAAUACAAUGGACUAUUCGUCACCGCCGAUAAAUGGUUCUGGAUUUCAAACUCAUUAAUAGAUGCAGUGAAUGUAGAAAUUGCUAAUAUUGGGAAAGAAAAUAUCUGGGCAAAAGGGGGAAAAACAAGCAGGAUGAAAUGAUGGAUAAGUCUUCCCAGAUUUUUCAAAAUUCUGAUGGUACCAGUUAUGGAUUAAUGCACUGGUAUGGGACGGUAGAAUUCUAGGGACUAAGGUGUUCAUCAAUUCCAGGGUUAGAGCUUGGACAUGCAGAGCAGAUACAGACACUCAUUCCUCCGAUUAUUGAGAAAAAUGAUGUUGAGAUAGUGCAAAACCAAGUCAGUAUCAGGAAAGGAUAUCCCCGUGGGUUCUGACAUGGUUUCAUGAUUCCAAGCUGUCAACGUGCAUCCUCAUCUUAUAAAGUGGGUAUCAGCAUCCAUCACCACCAGACUCUCACCUUCAAUAGCUGCCACCACAUAAUUUUGAAGCUUUCUUAUGACUAGCUGAUAUCUAGUCCAUUUGUCUUUAAACUACAGAUUAUGUUGGGUUGUAUUUGGAUGUCUUUACAUUUAGUUUAAAAUGAUGCUCUGAUUUUUAAACAUGUUGGAAGAGGUUUAAAGUUUAUUUUUAUAUUCUACAUGUCAUGCUUUUGAUAUU
Molecule: RNA transcript, 1116 nt
Organism: Cornus florida
Lineage: Eukaryota; Viridiplantae; Streptophyta; Magnoliopsida; Cornales; Cornaceae
Exons: 8
Source: RefSeq, a predicted model, not a curated record